RNAcentral lists this transfer RNA (68 nucleotides) under human gut metagenome. It matches the Rfam family "tRNA". Rfam says of the family: Transfer RNA (tRNA) molecules are approximately 80 nucleotides in length. Their secondary structure includes four short double-helical elements and three loops (D, anti-codon, and T loops). Further hydrogen bonds mediate the characteristic L-shaped molecular structure. tRNAs have two regions of fundamental functional importance: the anti-codon, which is responsible for specific mRNA codon recognition, and the 3' end, to which the tRNAs corresponding amino acid is attached (by aminoacyl-tRNA synthetases). tRNAs cope with the degeneracy of the genetic code in two manners: having more than one tRNA (with a specific anti-codon) for a particular amino acid; and 'wobble' base-pairing, i.e. permitting non-standard base-pairing at the 3rd anti-codon position. The record is from RNAcentral.
CAGGUAUAGUUCAUCGGUAGAACACUUGCUUCCCAAGCAAGAUAGGAGGGUUCGACUCCCUUUACCUG